GGCGACUGAAGCGGGAAGAGCCCAUGUUGCCAAACCUUCGGGUGUUGUGCCAUGCGUGUCUUUUGUCUGGCCAGGAGUAAAUCCCUUGGAACAGGGUAUCAGAGAGGGUGACAAUCCCGUUCGCCUCUUGGCUUUGGCAAUUGUAGACCGUGUAACGGAGUCGAGUUGCUUGGGAUUGCAGCUCAAAGCGGGUGGUAAAUUCCAUCUAAGGCUAAAUACGGGUGGGAGACCGAUAGCGAACAAGUACUGUGAAGGAAAGAUGAAAAGCACUUUGGA
This 276-nucleotide ribosomal RNA is filed under the name Aurantiochytrium limacinum. Its description in RNAcentral is "partial Eukaryotic large subunit ribosomal RNA". It matches the Rfam family "Eukaryotic large subunit ribosomal RNA", at positions 88 to 380 of the family's 3401-position model. The record is from RNAcentral. Lineage: Eukaryota; Bigyra; Thraustochytrida; Thraustochytriidae.